UCAAGUGCAAUGUUUUGAAAAAACCUUCCCCUAGGGUUGAUCUUUGGCAACUUCCUGUGGCUGUCCUGAAGAAGGGUGUGUGCUUGUGUGCGUUACGCCAGUGUUGUGGGUGGAGUAGGCGCGAUUGGACAAAUAAAGAUCCCACAUGUUCAUACGUGGGAGUGAAAGUAAAGAUGUGAUUUAUCGCACUUACCUGAGAUUCUGCUGAGGAGCACGGCAGGAAUUCCAGGAUUCCGCGUUAACCUCAGAACACGAUGAGUUUACCUUUAAGACAUG
This is a long non-coding RNA of Hippocampus zosterae (dwarf seahorse), 276 nucleotides long. RefSeq lists it as uncharacterized. The transcript has 2 exons. NCBI's taxonomy places the organism in Eukaryota, Metazoa, Chordata, Actinopteri, Syngnathiformes, Syngnathidae. The record is from RefSeq and is a predicted model, not a curated record.